Molecule: ribosomal RNA, 449 nt
Filed under: uncultured bacterium
Lineage: Bacteria
Description: partial 16S ribosomal RNA
Rfam family: Bacterial small subunit ribosomal RNA
Source: RNAcentral
AACGAACGCUGGCGGCAGGCUUAACACAUGCAAGUCGAACACACCUUUCGGGGUGAGUGGCAGACGGGUGAGUAACGCGUGGGAAUCUACCCUUCUCUACGGGAUAGCUCCGGGAAACUGGAAUUAAUACCGUAUACGUCCUGAGGGAGAAAGAUUUAUCGGGGAAGGAUGAGCCCGCGUUGGAUUAGCUAGUUGGUGGGGUAAAGGCCUACCAAGGCGACGAUCCAUAGCUGGUCUAAGAGGAUGAUCAGCCACAUUGGGACUGAGACACGGCCCAAACUCCUACGGGAGGCAGCAGUGGGGAAUAUUGGACAAUGGGCGCAAGCCUGAUCCAGCCAUGCCGCGUGAGUGAUGGAGGCCCUAGGGUUGUAAAGCUCUUUCAGUGGGGACGAUAAUGACUGUACCGGAAGGAUAAGCCCCGGCAAACUUCGUGCCAGCCGCCGCCGUAA